UGAUUUAAUGACUGUGAUGUGUAUUUUAGGUUGAAAGACAGUUUUUUAAACUCUUCUUUAACCAGGCAGUUGACUCAUCAGGAAAUGAAAUGCCAUGGUAAUGAGGGGACAUGACAGAUAGGCAAUAAACAAGCUUGCUAUUAUACUUCUACAUGUUUAAUGACACGGAGCAGCACAACAGGUGGUGCAGAUGUUUCUGGCUGGAGUUUCUUGUGUCUAAUAUUGUGCAGCCUUGGCCUUCAGUUUUUGCCUUAGGCUUAUCAAUAGACUUACUUGGACUUUAAUAAGCUUAAACUUCUACACUCCUGCGUUCAAACCAGUUGGUUCAAAACCCACAUUGAAAUGUGCAUUGCUACUAGAGAGCAGUGAGACAACCAGACAACCACAAGCUGGAAAAGACCACCAACGAGACUGUGACCGCAGCUUACCCACUGGGGAACCACUGCCACUUAGCAAGGAAACUGAGGAACAGCUGUGAAGGCUCACUGUGAGAUGUAAUCACCAAUCAUUUGAGAACCACUACAGUCUGCGAUACCUGCACAGCAGUACUCCAGAGGUGUGGACCACUCCAGCUGAAAGAGAGUGGAGCUGCAGAAGCUUCCUAUUUAUGUGCAGAGAAUUACUUUCUCAGUUCAUCAAGAAAGAAAGGGAGGAGUUCAUCAAGAAAGAGGGAGAGCAGGGGAGGAAUUGCUACACAUCAAGCCCUACAAAUAAACAACACAAAAAACAUCUUCUCUUUCCUUGCUGGAAUUAAACAAAAUGGCUAAAUUUAAUUUUUCAUUGAGUUGAAAAUGGAGAAUACUAGAUGCACUUGAAAUAACACAACAGAAACCCAUAGGUACAUUCAGAUGGGAAGGGAAGAGAGGAGAUGAGGUCAGUGAGGCUGUGAAGAAGACACGAGGCUACCUCUCCCUCCACUAACCGCCCCACGCGCUUGGACUGACGUUGGUGGACAUGACCCUUCCCUGACCAUGGCCUCCAUCUCCUCAAACCCCCGAGCCCUCCUUCCCUGCAGAUGCCUGACUUUGCCCACCAGCCCCUGCACACACUCUGCCACAUGCAGAGGGAUCUCGUCACCCUCAGGUCAAACUCACAGGUGCAUAUUCAAGUGGCCACACAGGUGAGCGGCCUGGAAGAGCAGCAGUCCACAGUGCUGGGGCUGCCCCUUGCUGAAGCCACUGCCAUAGUGCUGCCAGCCGUGACAUCUGCCAGCUUUUUCUGUGGGAAAGCAAGCCUCAUGCCCACCUCGUGGGAGGGCCCCACCACAGUGCAUUCUCCUCCCAUCACUCCUGGGCAAAAACAGAGAUUUAGUGGCUGGCCCAGGAACAGAGCCUGAGGCUUCCCUUCCAGCCCGAAGGCUGAAACCGCCCAACAGCUGCAAGUAAAAACUCGUUUCUUUCACCUCAUGUCUUCCCCUUCUGGAAAAAUUUAAUUAAAUUUGAACUAAAAUUUGGCAGCUUCAGCCCAGAUCUAUAAUGACCAAGACAUUAUCUUUCAGAGAAUAAACUUCCACAGGAGAGAAAAAAAAGAAAAAAGGCAACUAGUUUAAGUCACCUCAACUUUUAUUUUCAGAGAGGGAAAAAGACUAGAGAAUCUCAUGAAGUGCUGCUCAUUCUACAACCCUACUGCUGUCAACAAGACUGUUGAUGUGUCAUGCUAGACUCUUGAGGUUUGAAAUAUCCACAGGUAGCAAGAACAUUGACUUAAACAAUUUGCCUAUGUUAAGACAGACUUGGGAGUUAUGUCCUGGUCCUCUUUACCUUGCUUUGUUUCUAACACUGAGGUUUUGCAGUGAAAGGGCUAAUCAAGGGGGAGGAUGACAUUUCCAAGACUCACAUGAGAAGCGCAGCACAAUCCAGAUUCCAUUUAAAAUUAUGCAUAUAGCGGGAUGAAUAAAGAUUUUCCAACUUGGAUGAUUUCACUGCCAAAUUUCAAUAGUCCUUUUAAUUACAUUAUUGUAUUUCUAUUUUAGAUAACAAGAGGGUAUCUGGUAUUUUAUGUACAGUCUGCAGAACUAGAUGCAACUAUUGGCUUUCUGGCACCUUGCCUCUGUGUCUGAGAGAGUUAUAAAGCUUGGGCAGCUAUGCCAGUACACACCAUUGUUUGUACCUGCUGCAAUUCAGUUGUUACAGCAGCAGUUGUAGCAAUCUAACAAGUAGAACACCCGCUUUACUGCCUGUUUUAUUACCAAGACAGAUAAAAUUUGUACAAGUAGUGCUCAGGGAACCAGCAUAUAACAGUACAUCUGAAUUAAAAACUAAAGUAUUAUCUAGCUGAACUCAUUAGCAUUUACAGGAAUGGGUAAACAGAUUUGUUUCCCCCAUCCAUUAUGUUGCUCCCUGCACAACAGCCAUUUGUUCUGAGCCUCUCUUAGCAACUUAUUGGAAGAAAACAAACAGAUAAGAUGGCAGUACUGACUGGAUGAACAACACUAAUACCCCUGGAGAACAUGCGAGAAUACUGUAAGAUUUGUCUACUAUAUACCUUCCAACAGUUAGCUCAGCAGAUUUGAUGUUUCAUGUACUAGAGUUCUUCCCAAACUUUGUAAACAGAAUACAGGAAAAUGGCUUUUCAGUCUGAGACCCAAAAUGGGACUUUGGCAUCCCUAACUCCCACCCUUGGGUGCCACUCCUCUCCUGGUAAGUUUUCAACUUACCUUUUUUCUGAAGGUGUGUCUCAGGAAUUCGUGACAGUUUUGAGUACCUCAAGCAUAUUUCUUCCACGAUCAAAGACCUAACAGCUGUAUCUACCUCUUGCUUGGGGUGCUGUUCUCACUUUGCACCU
This is a long non-coding RNA of Columba livia (rock pigeon), 2784 nucleotides long. RefSeq lists it as uncharacterized. NCBI's taxonomy places the organism in Eukaryota, Metazoa, Chordata, Aves, Columbiformes, Columbidae. The transcript has 4 exons. The record is from RefSeq and is a predicted model, not a curated record.